UAGGGAAUCUUCGGCAAUGGACGAAAGUCUGACCGAGCAACGCCGCGUGAGUGAAGAAGGUUUUCGGAUCGUAAAACUCUGUUGGUAGAGAAGAACGUUGGUGAGAGUGGAAAGCUCAUCAAGUGACGGUAACUACCCAGAAAGGGACGGCUAACUACGUGCCAGCAGCCGCGGUAAUACGUAGGUCCCGAGCGUUGUCCGGAUUUAUUGGGCGUAAAGCGAGCGCAAGUGGUUUAUUAAGUCUGGUGUAAAAGGCAGUGGCUCAACCAUUGUAUGCAUUGGAAACUGGUAGACUUGAGUGCAGGAGAGGAGAGUGGAAUUCCAUGUGUAGCGGUGAAAUGCGUAGAUAUAUGGAGGAACACCGGUGGCGAAAGCGGCUCUCUGGCCUGUAACUGACACUGAGGCUCGAAAGCGUGGGGAGCAAACAGGAUUAGAUAGCCCUGGUAGUCCACGCCG
RNAcentral lists this ribosomal RNA (456 nucleotides) under uncultured bacterium. RNAcentral's name for it is "partial 16S ribosomal RNA". It matches the Rfam family "Bacterial small subunit ribosomal RNA", at positions 355 to 802 of the family's 1533-position model. The record is from RNAcentral.